UGGCUAACCUACCAGAUAAUCUCCAUGUUU
This 30-nucleotide non-coding RNA is filed under the name Homo sapiens (human). Lineage: Eukaryota; Metazoa; Chordata; Mammalia; Primates; Hominidae. The record is from RNAcentral.